Non-coding RNA from Nematostella vectensis (starlet sea anemone), 83 nucleotides. The record is from Rfam. NCBI's taxonomy places the organism in Eukaryota, Metazoa, Cnidaria, Anthozoa, Actiniaria, Edwardsiidae.
ACCAGGAUGGCCGAGUGGUGAAGGCGUUGGACUUAAGUUCCAAUGUACGAAUGUACGCGUGGGUUCGAACCCCACUCCUGGUA